RNAcentral lists this microRNA precursor (76 nucleotides) under Loxodonta africana (African savanna elephant). RNAcentral's name for it is "miRNA (ENSLAFG00000033055.1)". The record is from RNAcentral. Lineage: Eukaryota; Metazoa; Chordata; Mammalia; Proboscidea; Elephantidae.
GGGAGCUUGUUAAAAUGCAGGUUCUGAUUCCGCAGGUCUGGGAUGGGGCCUGAGAUUCUGUAUUUUUAAAAAGUUC